GUGACAGUAGCUCAGUUGGCCAGAGUGUCACCUUGCCAAGGUGAAAGCCGAGAGUUCGAAUCUCUCCUGUCGCU
This 74-nucleotide transfer RNA is filed under the name marine sediment metagenome. Its description in RNAcentral is "tRNA-Gly". It matches the Rfam family "tRNA". From Rfam's summary of the family: Transfer RNA (tRNA) molecules are approximately 80 nucleotides in length. Their secondary structure includes four short double-helical elements and three loops (D, anti-codon, and T loops). The record is from RNAcentral.